This 74-nucleotide transfer RNA is filed under the name Minisyncoccota bacterium. Its description in RNAcentral is "tRNA-Gly". It matches the Rfam family "tRNA". Rfam says of the family: Transfer RNA (tRNA) molecules are approximately 80 nucleotides in length. Their secondary structure includes four short double-helical elements and three loops (D, anti-codon, and T loops). Lineage: Bacteria; Bacillati; Minisyncoccota. The record is from RNAcentral.
GCGGGAUUAGUUAAUCGGUAUAAUAUCUGCCUUCCAAGCAGAGGUGGCCAGUUCGAUUCUGGCAUCCCGCACCA